GAGUUUGAUCCUGGCUCAGAACGAACGCUGGCGGCGCGCCUAACACAUGCAAGCCGCGCGAGAAAGGCACCUUCGGGUGCCGAGUAAAGCGGCGGACGGGUGAGUAACACGUGAGUAACGUGCCUUCGAGUGUGGGGAUAACCGUCCGAAAGGGUGGCUAAUACCGCAUGAGACCACAAGGGCGGAUGCCCAAGAGGUCAAAGAGCUUCGGCUCGCUCGAAGAUCGGCUCGCGGCUCAUUAGGUCGAUGGUGAGGUAAUGGCUCACCAUGCCGAAGAUGAGUAGCUGGUCUGAGAGGACGAUCAGCCACACUGGGACUGAGACACGGCCCAGACUCCUACGGGAGGCAGCAGUGGGGAAUCUUGCGCAAUGGGUGCAAGCCUGACGCAGCGACGCCGCGUGUGUGACGAAGGCCUUCGGGUCGUAAAGCACUGUCAGCCGGGAAGAAGACACAUACGCCAAACGUGUGUGUGUUGACGUAC
Molecule: ribosomal RNA, 481 nt
Filed under: uncultured bacterium
Lineage: Bacteria
Description: bacterial SSU rRNA
Rfam family: Bacterial small subunit ribosomal RNA
Source: RNAcentral